This 426-nucleotide ribosomal RNA is filed under the name uncultured bacterium. RNAcentral describes it as "bacterial SSU rRNA". It matches the Rfam family "Bacterial small subunit ribosomal RNA", at positions 355 to 776 of the family's 1533-position model. The record is from RNAcentral.
UCGAGAAUCUUCGGCAAUGGGCGCAAGCCUGACCGAGCGACGCCGCGUGCGGGAUGAAGGCCCUCGGGUUGUAAACCGCUGUCGAGGGGGAUGAAAUUCCAUAGGGUUCUCCCUAUGGAUUGACAAAACUCUGGAGGAAGGGUGGGCUAAGUUCGUGCCAGCAGCCGCGGUAAGACGAACCACCCAAACGUUAUUCGGAAUCACUGGGCUUAAAGAGUGCGUAGGCGGCUCAGAAAGUAAGGUGUGAAAUCCCACAGCUCAACUGUGGAACUGCGCUUUAAACUACUGAGCUAGAGGGAGAUAGAGGUGAGCGGAACUGAUGGUGGAGCGGUGAAAUGCGUUGAUAUCAUCAGGAACACCGGAGGCGAAGGCGGCUCACUGGGUCUCUUCUGACGCUGAGGUACGAAAGCUAGGGUAGCGAACGGG